Molecule: ribosomal RNA, 621 nt
Filed under: Planomicrobium sp. BAB-5541
Lineage: Bacteria; Bacillati; Bacillota; Bacilli; Caryophanales; Caryophanaceae
Description: bacterial SSU rRNA
Rfam family: Bacterial small subunit ribosomal RNA
Source: RNAcentral
UGAGUAACACGUGGGCRACCUGCCCUGCAGAUCGGGAUAACUCCGGGAAACCGGUGCUAAUACCGAAUAGUUUUUUGCCCCUCCUGGGGSGAAACGGAAAGACGGUUUCGGCUGUCACUGCAGGAUGGGCCCGCGGCGCAUUAGCUAGUUGGUGGGGUAAUGRCCCACCAAGGCGACGAUGCGUAGCCGACCUGAGAGGGUGAUCGGCCACACUGGGASUGAGACACGGCCCAGACUCCUACGGGAGGCAGCAGUAGGGAAUCUUCCGCAAUGGACGCAAGUCUGACGGAGCAACGCCGCGUGAGUGACGAAGGUUUUCGGAUCGUAAAACUCUGUUGUGAGGGAAGAACAAGUACCAASUAACUACUGGUACCUUGACGGUACCUCACCAGAAAGCCACGGCUAACUACGUGCCAGCAGCCGCGGUAAUACGUAGGUGGCAAGCGUUGUCCGGAAKUAUUGGGSGUAAAGCGCGCGCAGGCGGUCCCUUAAGUSUGAUGUGAAAGCCCACGGCUCAACCGUGGAGGGUCAUUGGAAACUGGGGGACUUGAGUGCAGAAGAGGAAAGUGGAAUUCCACGKGUAGCGGUGAAAUGCGUAGAGAUGUGGAGGAACACCAGUGG